UACAGAGGUCUCAAGCGUUGUUCGGAUUCAUUGGGCGUAAAGGGUGUGUAGGUGGCGCCGUAAGUCGGGUGUGAAAUUUCGGAGCUUAACUCCGAAACUGCAUUCGAUACUGCGGUGCUUGAGGACUGGAGAGGAGACUGGAUUUCAUGGUGUAGCAGUGAAAUGCGUAGAGAUCAUGAGGAAGACCAGUGGCGAAGGCGGGUCUCUGGACAGUUCCUGACACUGAGACACGAAGGCCAGGGGAGCAAACGGG
RNAcentral lists this ribosomal RNA (253 nucleotides) under uncultured bacterium. RNAcentral describes it as "partial 16S ribosomal RNA". It matches the Rfam family "Bacterial small subunit ribosomal RNA", at positions 524 to 776 of the family's 1533-position model. The record is from RNAcentral.